GCCUGCAGCUAUACCGCCCUGCAAGUGCCUGACUCCAGAAGCUAAGCAUGGUCAGGCCUGGUUAGUACUUAGGAUGGAAGACUGUCCAGGAAGAUCCAGUGUUUUAUGCU
Ribosomal RNA from Pan paniscus (pygmy chimpanzee), 110 nucleotides. The record is from Ensembl. Lineage: Eukaryota; Metazoa; Chordata; Mammalia; Primates; Hominidae.